RNAcentral lists this ribosomal RNA (892 nucleotides) under uncultured bacterium. RNAcentral describes it as "bacterial SSU rRNA". It matches the Rfam family "Bacterial small subunit ribosomal RNA", at positions 505 to 1397 of the family's 1533-position model. The record is from RNAcentral.
GUGCCAGCCGCCGCGGUAAUACGUAGGUGGCAAGCGUUGUCCGGAUUUAUUGGGCGUAAAGCGAGCGCAGGCGGUUUCUUAAGUCUGAUGUGAAAGCCUUCGGCUCAACCGAAGAAGUGCAUCGGAAACUGGGAAACUUGAGUGCAGAAGAGGACAGUGGAACUCCAUGUGUAGCGGUGAAAUGCGUAGAUAUAUGGAAGAACACCAGUGGCGAAGGCGGCUGUCUGGUCUGUAACUGACGCUGAGGCUCGAAAGCAUGGGUAGCAAACAGGAUUAGGUACCCUGGUAGUCCAUGCCGUAAACGAUGAGUGCUAGGUGUUGGAGGGUUUCCGCCCUUCAGUGCCGCAGCUAACGCAUUAAGCACUCCGCCUGGGGAGUACGACCGCAAGGUUGAAACUCAAAGGAAUUGACGGGGGCCCGCACAAGCGGUGGAGCAUGUGGUUUAAUUCGAAGCAACGCGAAGAACCUUACCAGGUCUUGACAUCCUUUGACCACUCUAGAGAUAGAGCUUUCCCUUCGGGGACAAAGUGACAGGUGGUGCAUGGUUGUCGUCAGCUCGUGUCGUGAGAUGUUGGGUUAAGUCCCGCAACGAGCGCAACCCUUAUUACUAGUUGCCAGCAUUAAGUUGGGCACUCUAGUGAGACUGCCGGUGACAAACCGGAGGAAGGUGGGGACGACGUCAAAUCAUCAUGCCCCUUAUGACCUGGGCUACACACGUGCUACAAUGGAUGGUACAACGAGUUGCGAGACCGCGAGGUUUAGCUAAUCUCUUAAAACCAUUCUCAGUUCGGAUUGUAGGCUGCAACUCGCCUACAUGAAGCCGGAAUCGCUAGUAAUCGCGGAUCAGCAUGCCGCGGUGAAUACGUUCCCGGGCCUUGUACACACCGCCCGU